UACACUUUAAAUCCUAUCACAAGGACCAAUUAGAGGGCCAGUCUGGUGCCAGCAGCCGCGGUAACUCCAGCUCUAAUAGCGUAUAUUAAAGUUGUUGCGGUUAAAAAGCUCGUAGUUGAAUCUGUGUUCCGCGCUGUCGGUUCACCGCCCGCGGUGUUAACUGGCACGUCUCGCGGAACGUCCUGCCGGUGGAUGUGUGUCCUUUGUUUACUUACCCAUUAUGCGUGUGCAACUCCGGUUGUUACUGUAUAGUGUGGUGGGGUUCAAAUGUGUCACCAUCCGACUCAAUAAUCCUGUCGCGGUGCUCUUAAUUGAGUGUCGAGGCGGGCCGGCACGUUUACUUUGAACAAAUUAGAGUGCUCAAAGCAGGCUAAAAUUUUGCCUGAAUACUGUGUGCAUGGAAUAAUAGAACAGGACCUCGGUUCUAUUUUGUUGGUUUUCGGAACCCCGAGGUAAUGAUUAAUAGGGACAGAUGGGGGCAUUCGUAUUGCGACGUUAGAGGUGAAAUUCUUGGAUCGUCGCAAGACGGACAGAAGCGAAAGCAUUUGCCAAAAAUGUUUUCAUUAAUCAAGAACGAAAGUCAGAGGCUCGAAGGCGAUCAGAUACCGCCCUAGUUCUGACCAUAAACGAUGCCAGCUAGCGAUCCGCCGACGUUCCUCCGAUGACUCGGCGGGCAGCUUCCGGGAAACCAAAGCUUUUGGGUUCCGGGGGAAGUAUGGUUGCAAAGCUGAAACUUAAAGGAAUUGACGGAAGGGCACCACCAGGAGUGGAGCCUGCGGCUUAAUUUGACUCAACACGGGAAAGCUUACCAGGCCCGGACACCGGAAGGAUUGACAGAUUGAGAGCUCUUUCUUGAUUCGGUGGGUGGUGGUGCAUGGCCGUUCUUAGUUGGUGGUGUGAAUUGUCUGGUUAAUUCCGUUAACGAACGAGACUCUAGUCUGCUAAAUAGGCGUUAUUCCGGUAUCCUGAAGGCUCGUGUCUCUCGUUUUCUGUCGUGCUCUUGUUGUGGUGUAUCAUCGCUCAGGCGGUGUGCAUUGCACGGGGGUGCGUUUCAGUGCGAGAGUUCACGGUUUUUACUACCGGCGUACAUAUAAAUCUUCUUAGAGGGACAGGCGGCUUCUAGCCGCACGAGAUUGAGCAAUAACAGGUCUGUAAUGCCCUUAGAUGUUCUGGGCCGCACGCGCGCUACACUGAAGGAAUCAGCGUGUCUUCCCUGGCCGAACGGUCCGGGUAACCCGCUGAACCUCCUUCGUGCUAGGGAUUGGGGCUUGCAAUUGUUCCCCAUGAACGAGGAAUUCCCAGUAAGCGCGAGUCAUAAGCUCGCGUUGAUUAAGUCCCUGCCCUUUGUACACACCGCCCGUCGCUACUACUGAUUGAAUGAUUUAGUGAGGUCUUCGGACUGGUACGCGGCGGCGUUUCGACAUCGCCGAUGUCGCUGGGAAGAUGACCAAACUUGAUCAUUUAGAAGAAGUAAAAGUCGUAACAAGGUUUCCGUA
RNAcentral lists this ribosomal RNA (1496 nucleotides) under Fusarium graminearum. RNAcentral's name for it is "SSU rRNA". It matches the Rfam family "Eukaryotic small subunit ribosomal RNA", at positions 519 to 1807 of the family's 1831-position model. The record is from RNAcentral. Lineage: Eukaryota; Fungi; Ascomycota; Sordariomycetes; Hypocreales; Nectriaceae.